Molecule: ribosomal RNA, 535 nt
Filed under: Kyklioacalles punctaticollis punctaticollis
Lineage: Eukaryota; Metazoa; Arthropoda; Insecta; Coleoptera; Curculionidae
Description: partial 16S ribosomal RNA
Rfam family: Bacterial large subunit ribosomal RNA
Source: RNAcentral
GGCCUUUUGUUUAUGAUUUAAGGUCUAACCUGCCCAAUGAUGUAAUAAUUUAAUGGCCGCAGUAUUUUGACUGUGCAAAGGUAGCAUAAUCAUUAGUUUUUUAAUUGAAAGCUUGUAUGAAAGGUUUGAUGAGAAAAGAACUGUCUCUGUUUAAAAUUUUAGAAAUUUAUUUUUAAGUUAAAAAGCUUAAAUUUUCAUUGAAGACGAGAAGACCCUAUAGAGUUUUAUUUAUAUAAAAAUAAUAAGAGUUUAGUAUUUAAAAUUUUAUUUUUAUAUAAAUUUAGUUGGGGUGAUUGAAAAAUUUAUUAAACUUUUUUUUUUAUAUUUACAUUAAUUUAUGAGUAUUUGAUCCUUUAUUAGAUUAUAAGAUGAAAUUACCUUAGGGAUAACAGCGUAAUUUUUCUAAGAGUCCUUAUCGAAAGAAGAGAUUGCGACCUCGAUGUUGGAUUAAAAUUAAAUUUUUGGUGUAGAAGCUAAUAAAUUAGGUCUGUUCGACCUUUAAAUUUUUACAUGAUCUGAGUUUAAACCGGUGUAA